GCUGGGUGUGGUGGUGCACACCUGUAAUCCUAGCUACUUGGGAGGCUGAGGCAGGAGACUCGCUUGAACCCGGGAGGCCGAGCUUGCAGUGAGCCAAGAUCGCAACACUGCACUCUAGCCUGGGUGACAGAGCUAGACUGUCUCCA
RNAcentral lists this non-coding RNA (146 nucleotides) under Pongo abelii (Sumatran orangutan). Lineage: Eukaryota; Metazoa; Chordata; Mammalia; Primates; Hominidae. The record is from Rfam by way of RNAcentral.